Molecule: ribosomal RNA, 398 nt
Filed under: Salmonella enterica subsp. enterica serovar Havana
Lineage: Bacteria; Pseudomonadati; Pseudomonadota; Gammaproteobacteria; Enterobacterales; Enterobacteriaceae
Description: partial 23S ribosomal RNA
Rfam family: Bacterial large subunit ribosomal RNA (bases 1-336)
Source: RNAcentral
GCACUGUUUCGGCUAGGGGGCCAUCCCGGCUUACCAACCCGAUGCAAACUGCGAAUACCGGAGAAUGUUAUCACGGGAGACACACGGCGGGUGCUAACGUCCGUCGUGAAGAGGGAAACAACCCAGACCGCCAGCUAAGGUCCCAAAGUCAUGGUUAAGUGGGAAACGAUGUGGGAAGGCCCAGACAGCCAGGAUGUUGGCUUAGAAGCAGCCAUCAUUUAAAGAAAGCGUAAUAGCUCACUGGUCGAGUCGGCCUGCGCGGAAGAUGUAACGGGGCUAAACCAUGCACCGAAGCUGCGGCAGCGAACGUAUCACUUAAAGCGAUUCAGCGGGUUACGAUUGACGGAGCGAAGCGACGUCAAAGCGUAUACAAAGUCGAGUCGGUUUAAGGAUACGUU